RNAcentral lists this ribosomal RNA (253 nucleotides) under uncultured bacterium. RNAcentral describes it as "partial 16S ribosomal RNA". It matches the Rfam family "Bacterial small subunit ribosomal RNA", at positions 524 to 776 of the family's 1533-position model. The record is from RNAcentral.
UACAGAGGUGGCAAGCGUUGUUCGGAAUUACUGGGCGUAAAGGGCGCGUAGGCGGCCCGUCAAGUCCCGUGUGAAAGCCCCCGGCUCAACCGGGGAACGGCGCGGGAAACUAGCAGGCUUGAGUUCGGGAGAGGGAAGCGGAAUUCCGGGUGUAGCGGUGAAAUGCGCAGAUAUCCGGAGGAACACCGGUGGCGAAGGCGGCUUCCUGGACCGACACUGACGCUGAGACGCGAAGGCGUGGGGAGCGAACGGG